RNAcentral lists this ribosomal RNA (292 nucleotides) under uncultured Acidobacteriota bacterium. Its description in RNAcentral is "uncultured Acidobacteria bacterium partial 16S ribosomal RNA". Lineage: Bacteria; Pseudomonadati; Acidobacteriota. The record is from RNAcentral.
GGACUACAGGGGUAUCUAAUCCUGUUUGCUCCCCUAGCUUUCGCGCUGCAGCGUCAGUACCCGUCCAGGUAGCCGCCUUCGCCACUGGUGUUCUUCCGAGUCUCUACGCAUUUCACCGCUACACUCGGAAUUCCACUACCCUCUCCGGGACUCAAGCCGGCCAGUAUCGGAGGCAAUUCCUCAGUUGAGCCGAGGGAUUUCACCUCCGACUUGAUCGGCCGCCUACGCGCCCUUUACGCCCAAUGAUUCCGAACAACGCUGGCCCCCUCCGUAUUACCGCGGCUGCUGGCAC